This 496-nucleotide ribosomal RNA is filed under the name uncultured bacterium. RNAcentral describes it as "partial 16S ribosomal RNA". It matches the Rfam family "Bacterial small subunit ribosomal RNA", at positions 28 to 506 of the family's 1533-position model. The record is from RNAcentral.
GAUGAACGCUGGCGGCGUGCCUAAUACAUGCAAGUCGAGCGAACGGACGAGAAGCUUGCUUCUCUGAUGUUAGCGGCGGACGGGUGAGUAACACGUGGAUAACCUACCUAUAAGACUGGGAUAACUUCGGGAAACCGGAGCUAAUACCGGAUAAUAUUUUGAACCGCAUGGUUCAAAAGUGAAAGACGGUCUUGCUGUCACUUAUAGAUGGAUCCGCGCUGCAUUAGCUAGUUGGUAAGGUAACGGCUUACCAAGGCAACGAUGCAUAGCCGACCUGAGAGGGGGAUCGGCCAACCGGGAACUGAAACCCGGUCCAGACCCCUAGGGGAGGAAGCAGUGGGGAAUUUUCCGGAAUGGGGGAAAGCCUGACGGGGAAACGCCGGGUGGGUGAUGAAGGUUUUCGGAUCGUAAAACUCUUUUAUUGGGGAAAAACAUAUGUGUAAGUAACUGUGCACCUCUUGACGGUACCUAAUCAGAAAGCCACGGCUAACUACGU